UACGUAGGGUGCAAGCGUUGUCCGGAAUUAUUGGGCGUAAAGAGCUCGUAGGCGGUCUGUCGCGUCGGCUGUGAAAUCCCGGAGCUCAACCUCGGGUCUGCAGUCGAUACGGGCAAACUAGAGUAUUGCAGGGGAGACUGGAAUUCCUGGUGUAGCGGUGAAAUGCGCAGAUAUCAGGAGGAACACCGGUGGCGAAGGCGGGUCUCUGGGCAAUAACUGACGCUGAGGAGCGAAAGCGUGGGGGAGCGAACAGG
Molecule: ribosomal RNA, 254 nt
Filed under: uncultured bacterium
Lineage: Bacteria
Description: partial 16S ribosomal RNA
Rfam family: Bacterial small subunit ribosomal RNA
Source: RNAcentral